GGGCGUAUAGCUCAGUUGGUUAGAGCAGCCGACUCAUAAUCGGCCGGUCGUAGGUUCGAAUCCUACUGGGCCCACCA
Molecule: transfer RNA, 77 nt
Filed under: Actinobacteria bacterium ADurb.Bin444
Lineage: Bacteria; Bacillati; Actinomycetota
Description: tRNA-Met
Rfam family: tRNA
About the family: Transfer RNA (tRNA) molecules are approximately 80 nucleotides in length. Their secondary structure includes four short double-helical elements and three loops (D, anti-codon, and T loops). Further hydrogen bonds mediate the characteristic L-shaped molecular structure. tRNAs have two regions of fundamental functional importance: the anti-codon, which is responsible for specific mRNA codon recognition, and the 3' end, to which the tRNAs corresponding amino acid is attached (by aminoacyl-tRNA synthetases). tRNAs cope with the degeneracy of the genetic code in two manners: having more than one tRNA (with a specific anti-codon) for a particular amino acid; and 'wobble' base-pairing, i.e. permitting non-standard base-pairing at the 3rd anti-codon position.
Source: RNAcentral